This 478-nucleotide ribosomal RNA is filed under the name uncultured bacterium. RNAcentral describes it as "partial 16S ribosomal RNA". It matches the Rfam family "Bacterial small subunit ribosomal RNA", at positions 28 to 523 of the family's 1533-position model. The record is from RNAcentral.
GACGAACGCUGGCGGCGUGCUUAACACAUGCAAGUCGAACGGUAAGGCCCUUCGGGGUACACGAGUGGCGAACGGGUGAGUAACACGUGGGUGAUCUGCCCUGCACUUCGGGAUAAGCCUGGGAAACUGGGUCUAAUACCGGAUAGGACUCCGGACUGCAUGGUCUGGGGUGGAAAGCUUUUGCGGUGUGGGAUGGGCCCGCGGCCUAUCAGCUUGUUGGUGGGGUGAUGGCCUACCAAGGCGAUGACGGGUAGCCGGCCUGAGAGGGUGACCGGCCACACUGGGACUGAGAUACGGCCCAGACUCCUACGGGAGGCAGCAGUGGGGAAUAUUGCACAAUGGGCGCAAGCCUGAUGCAGCGACGCCGCGUGAGGGAUGACGGCCUUCGGGUUGUAAACCUCUUUCAGCAUCGACGAAGCGAAAGUGACGGUAGGUGCAGAAGAAGGACCGGCCAACCACGUGCCAGCCGCCGCGGUAA